CUGGCUUCCUUACCGUCUCUUAUACGGUUGAUUUUGGUCAUUUUUAGCUUCACAGAGAGAGAGAGAGAGAGAGAGAGAGAGAGACGUGAGGCCCUCCUAGCUGCUAGAUAGGGUUCCUAUGACUUGUAGUUGGUGUUUUCUGCUGAACGUUCUUUUGCUUUUUCUUCCUCUUUUGAAGUGUUUCUCAAGUUCUUCCCGUGGGCUGCAUCUUGGGUCUUGCAAGUUACCCUUUUUGGUUCUUCCACUUCAUUUUCUCUCUCUCGCUAGGGUUUGAAGAUCUGUGGGGAGUUUCAUGCUGUGAUAUUGAAGUGAGUCUUGAUUUCCCUGGUUUUGACUGAUUUCUAGGGUUUGCGUGGGAAGAGAGAGGGGAUUAGUGUGGAGGGAGUCUGGAGCUCCUUUAAGUCCAAUAGAGGUUCUUGGCUGGGUGAGUUGAGCUGCUGGUCUAUGGAUCCCACACUCCUAUCCCAUUAAAUCUACUCAUUCUCGAAUGGAAGCCCAUAAAAAGAAGGAAAAAAGAGAAAUGAAGAAUACAACAAAGAAGGAUGAAAAAUUGGGAUAGGCUUGUGGCUUGCAUAUGCCAGGAGCUUCACUUGCCCCUUCUGGUCUGAAUCCUUUUUUGGAUUGAAGGGAGCUCUACACUUUUGUUGUAAUCUUCCCCUCUCUCUCUCUCUUGCAUGAGAUGAUCUUUUUUUUCUGAAGUGUUAAUUUUUCUGCAGUAGAUUCUCAUGACGUUUAUCAGAUCUGGUUCUUUAAACAAUAGAGAGCUAGUUGGAAAAUCUUUUGAGCUGCCCUCUUCUGUAUUGGAGUUUUCGAUUUUUAUUUUUUUUCCUUUUCUGGAUCUGGCUGAGUCAAAAGCAUUUUGGGAGCUUUCAAGAUUGCUUCAUGUGAGUUGUGUCCUAAGGAUGACUGGGCAUGCUGCUGCUUCCUAGAUACUCUCGCAUGAUGUGUGUGUAACUGUUAACUGACUGUUCUUGUGUCCUAAUAAAUGGGGUGUUUUUUGAAUUAACGUUUCUCCGGAUCCUGGAUCCUGUUUCAGGAUCCUCAGAUCGGGUGAAUCUCUCUCUCUCGGUUAGGUUCAUCUUACACUGUAGUUUAUAACUUACACGACUUGCUCCAUUUUUGUCAAGAAAUAUCGAAAGCCUUGGUCUUCGAAGCACGUUGUUUUCAUUAAAACAAAAUGGGACCAUGCUCGUCAAUUCGACCUCGGUUUUUCCAGCUCUUGAUGUAGCCGUAGUUUCUCUUGUGGACCAGCUUCUAAGAUGGAAUUUAUUAGUUGUUUCUUUUUGCGUUUUGUCUUUGUUCCUUGCUGGGAAAUUGCUCAGUUCACUUUGGUGUUUUAGGACCGAGUGUGUUUUGUUGUAAUCGCGCUUUUCUUGACCUAAAUUCGGAGAACUAAGUUGUGGCUGUUCAAAUGGGAUAGGUAUGAGAAAUCAAGUGAAUGUAAGGUGUUAGCAAUUGGUACGUUAUGGGGGACUUGGCACUAUAUACUGGCAGCAGAUGCUUUUUCAUCUACUCUUUCGAGCAAUCUUCUUGUUGGGUCAAACUGGUCUGUGCGCUCCUCAGUAAUUCGGUGACAAUGAUGCAUGAUGAGUUUUGACCUAGGGUAAUAGAUGUUAUGGCUGUAGGAAUGGAGGAUGAUCGUGAAGAUGCAGAAGCUCGAGUCGCAGGGUUUUGAAGAAAUGUCUGUGUUUAAGCGGUUUGUAAGAUAGAGAGAAAUGUAGUUUUGAAGCUUGUGCUAUUGUUUUGUAAGAGUGAAAUCUUUCGUAUGUGUUUUAUUUUUUUUUUGGCAAUGUACAAAUGUAAUACGAAGACAUUGAAUUUAAGAUUCGUGACCCAUCUAAGUGAUGAUAUAA
Long non-coding RNA from Syzygium oleosum, 1853 nucleotides. RefSeq lists it as uncharacterized. Lineage: Eukaryota; Viridiplantae; Streptophyta; Magnoliopsida; Myrtales; Myrtaceae. The record is from RefSeq and is a predicted model, not a curated record. The transcript is spliced from 2 exons.